This 527-nucleotide ribosomal RNA is filed under the name Cryptosporidium parvum. RNAcentral's name for it is "SSU rRNA". It matches the Rfam family "Eukaryotic small subunit ribosomal RNA", at positions 355 to 912 of the family's 1831-position model. The record is from RNAcentral. Lineage: Eukaryota; Apicomplexa; Conoidasida; Eucoccidiorida; Cryptosporidiidae.
ACGGGUACGGGGAUUAGGGUUCGAUUCCGGAGAGGGAGCCUGAGAAACGGCUACCACAUCUAAGGAAGGCAGCAGGCGCGCAAAUUACCCAAUCCUAAUACAGGGAGGUAGUGACAAGAAAUAACAAUACAGGACUUUUUGGUUUUGUAAUUGGAAUGAGUUAAGUAUAAACCCCUUUACAAGUAUCAAUUGGAGGGCAAGUCUGGUGCCAGCAGCCGCGGUAAUUCCAGCUCCAAUAGCGUAUAUUAAAGUUGUUGCAGUUAAAAAGCUCGUAGUUGGAUUUCUGUUAAUAAUUUAUAUAAAAUAUUUUGAUGAAUAUUUAUAUAAUAUUAACAUAAUUCAUAUUACUAUAUAUUUUAGUAUAUGAAAUUUUACUUUGAGAAAAUUAGAGUGCUUAAAGCAGGCAUAUGCCUUGAAUACUCCAGCAUGGAAUAAUAUUAAAGAUUUUUAUCUUUCUUAUUGGUUCUAAGAUAAGAAUAAUGAUUAAUAGGGACAGUUGGGGGCAUUUGUAUUUAACAGUCAGAGGU